AACAAAGUCCUUGCGAUAAGUGUCAGAUGUUAUUAUGACACCUCUGUGUACUUUGACGGACAGUCAGUGCAGAUGUUUUGCUGGGAAAGGUCCAGCUGCCCAACCCAAGCAUAUUGUUGCUCUACUUUUGGAAACGACACAAAGAGUUUAAGGGGAAGAAAUCAUACUCCCUAGUACAUGUAUCUACUCAAGAACUGCAGUCAUUCCAUGGUGGCCCUAUUUCUGAACCCCUCUUGAAGUUCAAGAUUCGGAUUCCUGAGAUCAAAAUACAUGAGGAUAGCGUGGGGAACCCUUGAAAAAAAAAUCUCUCCUCUCAUCUCAGAUUUUGAGAAAAUUCCAAGGCUAUAGGCUUACUGUUUUUUUCGGCAAAAAAGUAAAGCAUUUGCUAGAAUAAUUCUAGGACGCUUUUUCUACGUGAAAAAGCGUAUCGAACAAGAGGCCGUCAAUGAAAUUGAGCUGGC
RNAcentral lists this unclassified non-coding RNA (461 nucleotides) under Athalia rosae (coleseed sawfly). RNAcentral describes it as "misc RNA ENSAEAG00005008624.1". Lineage: Eukaryota; Metazoa; Arthropoda; Insecta; Hymenoptera; Athaliidae. The record is from RNAcentral.